CGGCCUGAGAGGGCGACCGGCCACACUGGGACUGAGACACGGCCCAGACUCCUACGGGAGGCAGCAGUGGGGAAUAUUGCACAAUGGGCGAAAGCCUGAUGCAGCGACGCCGCGUGAGGGAUGACGGCCUUCGGGUUGUAAACCUCUUUCAGCAGGGAAGAAGCGAAAGUGACGGUACCUGCAGAAGAAGCGCCGGCUAACUACGUGCCAGCAGCCGCGGUAAUACGUAGGGCGCAAGCGUUGUCCGGAAUUAUUGGGCGUAAAGAGCUCGUAGGCGGCUUGUCGCGUCGGUUGUGAAAGCCCGGGGCUUAACCCCGGGUCUGCAGUCGAUACGGGCAGGCUAGAGUUCGGUAGGGGAGAUCGGAAUUCCUGGUGUAGCGGUGAAAUGCGCAGAUAUCAGGAGGAACACCGGUGGCGAAGGCGGAUCUCUGGGCCGAUACUGACGCUGAGGAGCGAAAGCGUGGGGAGCGAACAGGAUUAGAUACCCUGGUAGUCCACGCCGUAAACGGUGGGCACUAGGUGUGGGCAACAUUCCACGUUGUCCGUGCCGCAGCUAACGCAUUAAGG
This 567-nucleotide ribosomal RNA is filed under the name Streptomyces avermitilis. RNAcentral's name for it is "bacterial SSU rRNA". It matches the Rfam family "Bacterial small subunit ribosomal RNA", at positions 288 to 865 of the family's 1533-position model. Lineage: Bacteria; Bacillati; Actinomycetota; Actinomycetes; Kitasatosporales; Streptomycetaceae. The record is from RNAcentral.